Long non-coding RNA from Canis lupus familiaris (dog), 471 nucleotides. RefSeq lists it as uncharacterized. The record is from RefSeq and is a predicted model, not a curated record. NCBI's taxonomy places the organism in Eukaryota, Metazoa, Chordata, Mammalia, Carnivora, Canidae. The transcript is spliced from 3 exons.
GCUAGGGGUUUGUGAAAACAAAAUUUUAAGCCUCCCCUCUCACUAUCUCACACUAUACUUUCUUCUUUCUGGUCUUCCUAUCUUUUACCUGCCUGCUCUCCCUCAUCUCUUUUGAAGAGGAGAUUCUUGAAGGACUCUGAAAGACCCAACAUGAAUUUGGAAAGUGCAAAGAAAAUAAAAACAAGAGUAAUGCUGACUUGUUGAAAUAACUACAGUUUUCUCUUUCAGAUUGAGGCCAGUAAGAGCAACACUAAUGCUUCCUGGAGGAGUUAUCUACCAGAUAAUACUAACCUAGUAGAGGAGAAAAAUGGGAAAGCACAAAACUAGGAAUUUUGCAAGCAUAAAGCAACUUUGAGACUUACUUUAUUCUCUGUUAUCAGUGGCUCUCAGUCAGAGGCAAUUUUACCCUCCCAAGGGAUAUUUGGCAUGUCUGGAGACCAUUUUAACUAUUACAACUGGGGUAGAAGGUAA